RNAcentral lists this ribosomal RNA (576 nucleotides) under uncultured eukaryote. RNAcentral's name for it is "SSU rRNA". It matches the Rfam family "Eukaryotic small subunit ribosomal RNA", at positions 174 to 759 of the family's 1831-position model. The record is from RNAcentral.
UAAAAACCCCGACUUCGGAAGGGGUGUAUUUAUUAGAUACAAAACCAAUGCCCUUCGGGGCUCUUUGGUGAUUCAUGAUAACUAUACGAAUCGCACGGCCUUGCGCCGGCGAUGGUUCAUUCAAAUUUCUUCCCUAUCAACUUUCGAUGUUUGGGUAUUGGCCAAACAUGGUUGCAACGGGUAACGGAGGGUUAGGGCUCGACCCCGGAGAAGGAGCCUGAGAAACGGCUACUACAUCCAAGGAAGGCAGCAGGCGCGCAAAUUACCCAAUCCCGACUCGGGGAGGUAGUGACAAUAAAUACUGAUACAGGGCCCUUUCGGGCCUUGUAAUUGGAAUGAGUACAAUUUAAAUCCCUUAACGAGGAACAAUUGGAGGGCAAGUCUGGUGCCAGCAGCCGCGGUAAUUCCAGCUCCAAUAGCGUAUAUUAAAGUUGUUGUGGUUAAAAAGCUCGUAGUUGAACCUUGGGCCUGGCUGGCCGGUCCGCCUCAAAACGAAGCACUGGACAAGCCGGGCCUUUCCCUUGUGAAACCCCAUAUUCUUCAAUGGGCAUGGAUAGGAAAAGGAAUUAAAUUGUG